AUGCUUCGUGGCUUCCAUCUCGAGGAGGAUGCCGAAGAUGAUAUUGUAUGGAAGCACACCGCUAGCGGACAAUACACGGCCGAGUCGGCAUACAAAGCGCAAUUCCUUGGCACAAUCAAAUCCCCUAUGGAGCACACUGUGUGGAGGGCUUGGGCUCCCCCCAAAGUCAAGUUCUUCGCUUGGCUGGCUAUUCACACUAGUGCAGAACCGGGCAAUAGCACCGAUUCGUAA
RNAcentral lists this ribosomal RNA (231 nucleotides) under Triticum aestivum (bread wheat). Its description in RNAcentral is "partial small subunit ribosomal RNA". Lineage: Eukaryota; Viridiplantae; Streptophyta; Magnoliopsida; Poales; Poaceae. The record is from RNAcentral.